AACUAACAAGGAUUCCCUUAGUAACUGCGAGUGAAGUGGGAAAAGCUCAAAUUUAAAAUCUGGCGGUCAUUGACUGUCCGAGUUGUAAUCUAGAGAAGUGUUGCCCGUGCUGGACCAUGUACAAGUCUUCUGGAAUGGAGCAUCAUAGAGGGUGAGAAUCCCGUCUUUGACAUGGACUACCAGUGCUUUUGUGGUAUGCUCUCAAAGAGUCGAGUUGUUUGGGAAUGCAGCUCAAAAUGGGUGGUAAAUGCCAUCUAAAGCUAAAUAUUGGCGAGAGACCGAUAGCGAACAAGUACCGUGAGGGAAAGAUGAAAAGAACUUUGGAAAGAGAGUUAAACAGUACGUGAAAUUGCUGAAAGGGAAACGCUUGAAGUCAGUCACAUUGACUUGAAAUCAACCCUGCUUUUGCUGGGUGUACUUUCUUGUUGAUGGGUCAGCAUCAAUUUUGACCGUUGGAUAAAGUUAUUGGGAAUGUGACAUCUUUGGAUGUGUUAUAGCCCAUUGAUGCAUACAGCGGUUGAGAUUGAGGAAUUCAGCAUGCCGCAAGGCCGGGUUUUUAACCACGUUCGUGCUUAGGAUGCUGGCAUAAUGGCUUUAAUCGACCCGUCUUGAAACACGGACCAAGGAGUCUAACAUGCCUGCAAGUGUUUGGGUGAAAAAACCCAUGUGCGUAAUGAAAGUGAAAGUUGAGAUCCCUUAGGGGAGCAUCGACGCCCGGACCAGACCUUUUGUGACGGAUCCGCGGUAGAGCAUGUAUGUUGGGACCCGAAAGAUGGUGAACUAUGCCUGAAUAGGGUGAAGCCAGAGGAAACUCUGGUGGAGGCUCGUAGCGAUUCUGACGUGCAAAUCGAUCGUCAAAUUUGGGUAUAGGGGCGAAAGACUAAUCGAACCAUCUA
This 896-nucleotide ribosomal RNA is filed under the name Pseudosperma keralense. RNAcentral's name for it is "partial large subunit ribosomal RNA". It matches the Rfam family "Eukaryotic large subunit ribosomal RNA", at positions 63 to 946 of the family's 3401-position model. The record is from RNAcentral. Lineage: Eukaryota; Fungi; Basidiomycota; Agaricomycetes; Agaricales; Inocybaceae.